UAGGAUCAAUGGUUGAAAUUUGUGUAAAGUUAACCAAGAGACUCCUUUUUGGCUCUAUUGGUAAAAAUAUCUUGCCAUAUAGAGAUUUUGAGUUUAUUGUUUGCAAGACCGUUCAUCUCGUGAACAGGCGACCAAUUGCCUUCAAGGAAGCCUUGAGAGAUUCAUCUGGUGACUGUGUUCCUGAUUCAAUCACGCCUGAAGUUUUAAUUAAAGGAUAUGACUUGUUAUCUUUGAACGUUAUUCCAGAGCUUCAGAGAAAUCCUGAACCUGAAUGGAUGCCCUUUGAGCCCUUAAACAAGGUGAAAAAUAAUUACGAAAAACUUCAGAAAACUCUUAAGCUCAGAUAUUUAUAACGAAGAAUUCUUAUGUACUCUUAUCCACCAAGCAGUUAACUUAAAAGACGGGUAUAAGCCCGUGACGCACAAAAUUCUUCAAAGAGGUGAUAUUGUUCUAAUAAAAGAACCAAUGACCAAACAAAGUAACUACCCAAUGGUUAUUGUUAAAGACGUAGUGAAAAAUCUUCAUAAUGAAGUAGUGAAAAAUCUUCAUAAUGAAGUCACGGGUGCCAUAGUUAUGAAAGGUAAAACGAGACACAUAUUGAAGCGGCACUCUUCCACGUUGAUACCCUUACUUAGAGUUGCCUAAUAAUGAUGAAAUGAUCACUCUUCCUGGCCCAAGUGGUGUUGAAUGUUCAGCAAGACCCAAAAGGACAGCCAUUGAGAGUGAAAUAAAGACUAAAGAUAUUCUUGAUAAUUUCUAGGUUACUACCUGUAAAAAAUUUUUCUUGUGACUUGCAUUAUUAAUGUAACUGUAUACAUAAAUUUGAUUCGUAAUGGAAUCAAAUUCCCUUCCUUGGAGUGAAGAAAAUAUAAAUUUUCAGUUAUUUGUUUAGACUUUUAACAUUUUUCUAAUAUUUUUUUUAGUAACGUUAACUUGACAUUUUCUCAUAACAUUUUUGUGACAUGUUAAAAUAAUUGCUUUUCUGAAUGUAAAUUUGUAUAGAAAUCACUGUUUAAAGUGACACCACCUCCUUCCCGAAUCCUUGUUGGAGAACUUUGACUGCCUGAAAUUACUCCACUCGGGUAGAAACCGGCUGUUUUAUGUUUUUCUUCGCGGCAAGAAGGGCCGAAGGUUGGCAGUUCGGCUCACAGCUCCAUCGUAGUUUGCAGCGCAGCUCACAGCUCCUUCAUAGUCCGAAGGACUGGAAACUCGGUAUUCUGUGGAACUUUCACUUGCAAUGGAGCACUAAUUAACCCUCGUCUGCUACAGUAGUCUCAAGCCAUCGACACCAACGACAGACUUCGCAUACCAUCAACUGAUGUCUUGUACUAACCGUUUUAAGGAUGGAAAUUUCUUGAGUGAGUGGGACGGAAUUGGGGAGGAUUGGGAGAUCUGGUGUCAUCGGUCUUCUUCUACUUGAUAGAAUCCAGUCCAGACAACCAACAAGCAGUUACUGUUCACCUAUUCAGUCAUUUCUAAUAAAUAAGUUGGGAUUUUA
Molecule: long non-coding RNA, 1498 nt
Organism: Macrobrachium nipponense
Lineage: Eukaryota; Metazoa; Arthropoda; Malacostraca; Decapoda; Palaemonidae
Exons: 2
Source: RefSeq, a predicted model, not a curated record